GGGCACUUGGCACAGUUGGUAGCGCGCACGCUUCGCAUUUUCAGGGACUGCGUGAGGUCGUGGGUUCAACUCCCACAGUGUCCA
Transfer RNA from Rhizopogon vesiculosus, 84 nucleotides. It matches the Rfam family "tRNA". From Rfam's summary of the family: Transfer RNA (tRNA) molecules are approximately 80 nucleotides in length. Lineage: Eukaryota; Fungi; Basidiomycota; Agaricomycetes; Boletales; Rhizopogonaceae. The record is from Rfam.